This 299-nucleotide signal recognition particle RNA is filed under the name Cebus imitator (Panamanian white-faced capuchin). Its description in RNAcentral is "Metazoan signal recognition particle RNA (ENSCCAG00000005317.1)". It matches the Rfam family "Metazoan signal recognition particle RNA". Rfam says of the family: The signal recognition particle (SRP) is a universally conserved ribonucleoprotein. The record is from RNAcentral. Lineage: Eukaryota; Metazoa; Chordata; Mammalia; Primates; Cebidae.
GCCAGGUGCGGUGGCGUGUGCCUGUUGUCCCAGCUACUUGGGAGGCUGAGGCUGAAGGAUCUCCUGAGUCCAGGGCUUCUGGGCUGUAGUGCGCUGUGCCGAUCGGGUGUCCACACUAAGUUCGGCAUCAAUAUGGUAACCUCCCGGGAGUGGGGGACCACCAGGUUGCCUAAGGAGGGGUGAACUGGCCCAGGUCGGAAACGGAGCAGGUCAAAACUCCUGAGCCGAUCAGUAGUGGGAUAGCACCUGUGAAUAGCCACUGCACUCCAGCCUGGGCAACAUAGUGAGAACCCGUCUCC